Molecule: ribosomal RNA, 565 nt
Filed under: uncultured Glomeromycotina
Lineage: Eukaryota; Fungi; Glomeromycota
Description: SSU rRNA
Rfam family: Eukaryotic small subunit ribosomal RNA
Source: RNAcentral
UUGGAGGGCAAGUCUGGUGCCAGCAGCCGCGGUAAUUCCAGCUCCAAUAGCGUAUAUUAAAGUUGUUGCAGUUAAAAAGCUCGUAGUUGAAUUUCGGGGUCAAUAAGUUGGUCGUGCCAAUGGUAUGCACUGGCUUUAUUGAUUCCUACCUCUUGACGAACUGUGAUGCCAUUAAUUUGGUGUCGCAAGGAAUCAGGACUGUUACCUUGAAAAAAUUAGAGUGUUUAAAGCAGGCUUACGCUUGAAUACAUUAGCAUGGAAUAAUGAAAUAGGACGUUUGAACCUAUUUUGUUGGUUUCUAGGAUCGACGUAAUGAUUAAUAGGGAUAGUUGGGGGCAUUAGUAUUCAAUUGUCAGAGGUGAAAUUCUUGGAUUUAUUGAAGACUAACUACUGCGAAAGCAUUUGCCAAGGAUGUUUUCAUUAAUCAAGAACGAAAGUUAGGGGAUCGAAGACGAUCAGACACCGUCGUAGUCUUAACCAUAAACUAUGCCGACUAGGGAUCGGAUGAUGUUAAUUUUUUAAUGACUCAUUCGGCGCCUUACGGGAAACCAAAGUGUUUGGGUUC